RNAcentral lists this ribosomal RNA (369 nucleotides) under Chroodactylon ornatum. RNAcentral describes it as "bacterial LSU rRNA". It matches the Rfam family "Bacterial large subunit ribosomal RNA", at positions 2099 to 2465 of the family's 2925-position model. Lineage: Eukaryota; Rhodophyta; Stylonematophyceae; Stylonematales; Stylonemataceae. The record is from RNAcentral.
CUUUACUGUAACUUGAAAUUGGAUUUAAGCUUUUCUUGCGCAGGAUAGGUGGGAGGCUUUGAAGAUAUUUUUGCGGAAGUAUCUGAGCCAUCGGUGAGAUACCACUCUGGAAAAGCUCGGGUUCUAACCUCGUUUGCCGUUAUCCGGCCGGGGGACAUUUUCUGGUGGGCAGUUUGACUGGGGCGGUCGCCUCCUAAAAGGUAACGGAGGCGCGCAAAGGUUCUCUCAGGCUGGUCGGAAAUCAGUCGUAGAGUGUAAAGGCAUAAGAGAGCUUGACUGCAAGACCUACAAGUCGAGCAGAGACGAAAGUCGGCCUUAGUGAUCCGACGGUUCCGAGUGGAAGGGCCGUCGCUCAACGGAUAAAAGUUA